GAUGAACGCUGGCGGCGUGCCUAAUACAUGCAAGUCGAGCGAACAGACGAGGAGCUUGCUCCUCUGACGUUAGCGGCGGACGGGUGAGUAACACGUGGAUAACCUACCUAUAAGACUGGGAUAACUUCGGGAAACCGGAGCUAAUACCGGAUAAUAUAUUGAACCGCAUGGUUCAAUAGUGAAAGACGGUUUUGCUGUCACUUAUAGAUGGAUCCGCGCCGCAUUAGCUAGUUGGUAAGGUAACGGCUUACCAAGGCAACGAUGCGUAGCCGACCUGAGAGGGUGAUCGGCCACACUGGAACUGAGACACGGUCCAGACUCCUACGGGAGGCAGCAGUAGGGAAUCUUCCGCAAAGGGCGAAAGCCUGACGGAGCAACGCCGCGUGAGUGAUGAAGGUCUUCGGAUCGUAAAACUCUGUUAUUAGGGAAGAACAAAUGUGUAAGUAACUAUGCGCGUCUUGACGGUACCUAAUCAGAAAGCCACGGCUAACUACGUG
This 497-nucleotide ribosomal RNA is filed under the name uncultured bacterium. RNAcentral describes it as "partial 16S ribosomal RNA". It matches the Rfam family "Bacterial small subunit ribosomal RNA", at positions 28 to 507 of the family's 1533-position model. The record is from RNAcentral.